Molecule: non-coding RNA, 74 nt
Organism: Pelecanus crispus (Dalmatian pelican)
Lineage: Eukaryota; Metazoa; Chordata; Aves; Pelecaniformes; Pelecanidae
Source: Rfam
GCCGGGUCAGCUCAGUUGGUUAGAGCGUGGUGCUAACAACGCCGAGUUCACAGGUUCAAUCCCUGCUCACUGCA